RNAcentral lists this long non-coding RNA (1841 nucleotides) under Salmo salar (Atlantic salmon). RNAcentral's name for it is "lncRNA (ENSSSAG00000098610.1)". The record is from RNAcentral. Lineage: Eukaryota; Metazoa; Chordata; Actinopteri; Salmoniformes; Salmonidae.
CACAGAGAAAACAUCAACAAGAGUCUUUUAUUUCUACAAAAUUACAUUGGCGUGACUUCAUGCCCCUGAAAAUGGCAAGAGCACCUGAAGCAGUAAGGGAAUAGGGAGGAAAAGCACUCGAGUACAAAGCAAGGCAGGUAAAAAUCAAUACUUCAUCAAGUACACACUAGCGCCCUGCUAGUUCAGGCAUGCUUCUUUCCUUCCAUUUCAGUUAAGUUCUCAUUGUGGUCGACAGGUAAGGCCAGUCGACAAAAAUCGACUCAGUCCUAUAUGUUACCAUCGUACCGACAGAAUGCAUAAACAUUGUGUCAUGUCGACAAUAUUCCAGUACAUGCACAGGUUGAAAUGGGAAUACUCAAAAUCUACGAGAUACAGCCAACUACCCAUACAACACGUCAAUCCGUCAACAAUUUUAUUAUAUUAAAUAAAGCAGAGAUCAAGAUAAACAUCCUUCGUACAUUACAAACCAAUACUAAAGUGGAGCAAAUAACUCCUAUUGCACAGACAAUAGGAAAACCAAAACCUAAAGUAAAAUGUCAACUGAAUAGAUAGAUAGUGUUGGUGCGUGAACUCUAAAACAGCAUUCAAAUGUGGUUCAUAAGUAGUUAUAUAAAAAUUUAGUUAAUUUUCACACUGAUAUACAAUAGAAAAUGUUUUAUGAAUCAUCUAGGCCUAUGUUGAACAUUAAGGACUUUGUAGCGUAUAUCCUUUUUUAGGAGAAAUCUAUCAUAUAAACUGUCACAAGAAUGAGAACAUUCCGUAAAAAGUUUUAAAUGUCAGAAAAAAAUUACAAAAGCAGUAAGCAAAAUUGUAUAAAAUCUGCAAAGUUGAAAUGGCAGAGAAAAAGAGAGAGAGAGAAAAGGUGGAGAGAGCGAGAGAGAGAGAGAACGGGGGAGAGAGAGAGCAGAGGACUAGUAGAUGGAGAGAGAGAGAAGGGGGGAGAGAGAGAGCAGAGGACUAGUAGAUGGAGAGAGAGAGAAGGGGGGAGAGAGUAGAGCAGAGGACUAGUAGAUGGAGAGAGAGAGAAGGGGGGAGAGAGUAGAGAAAGUGAUUGGCAAGACGCCUGGUACAGUUUAUAGAUGUACUGUGAGUGUGUAUACUGUAUGCUACUCAUAGCUGUGUCAUAGUCACCCUGUCCGUUCCAAAGAUCCAUAUCUCGUGUACAUCUUGGCAUUAGGAGAGGCAUGUACUGCGCUGCACACGGCCAACAUCGAGCAGCAGAAUCUUUCUUUCUACCAAGGCGAAGCAUGGCAAACUAUCCUACUGCAUCUGAAAAAGCUUGUAUUUAAAAUAAAACAUUUUUAGAAGGACAGACAGCCCAAAAAGGCAUUUUCAAGUCAACUGGUACCAAUACUCUUCAUGUUGUUGGCUGAACCUCAGUGUAGAUUGAGACUUUCAUAAUCUCUCCAUGUCCGUCGAUCUUUAGCCCACCUGCCACUACAGACAGAAGGGGAAAAAAUGUGAAUUCUUCUAUUGAAUAGGAAUGACCACAGCAAUUAACAGUAUAUUGCCUGUAUGAAGUUCCUAUUUUGUAGACAUAAAUAUGUAAAAUAUUGUGACAACAACAUUUCUACGGCUCCAACUGAGCAUACAUCAGCAGUUACAAUGCAUCUGUAACCCCUCCUCCAGACAUCACCUAAUCUGUAUUCUAGAUGAAAGGACCCACCUUCAGCCCUCCUCCUCCUCCAGACAUCACCUAAUCUGUGUUGUAGAUGAAAGAACCCACCUUCAGCCCUCCUCCAGACAUCACCUAAUCUGUGUUCUAGAUGAAAGGACCCACCUUCAGCCCUCCUCCUCCUCCAGACAUCACCUAAUCUGUGUUCUAGAUGAAAGGACCAACC